RNAcentral lists this ribosomal RNA (277 nucleotides) under Pseudo-nitzschia australis. Its description in RNAcentral is "partial Bacterial small subunit ribosomal RNA". It matches the Rfam family "Bacterial small subunit ribosomal RNA", at positions 629 to 902 of the family's 1533-position model. The record is from RNAcentral. Lineage: Eukaryota; Bacillariophyta; Bacillariophyceae; Bacillariales; Bacillariaceae.
AGUAGUUUUUGACUAGAGUUUUUUAUAAGAGGGGGUAGUACUUUUAAGCGGAAAGUUGAUAUUUUUUGAUGCUAUAGGGACUGGUAAAGGCGAAGGCAACCUUUUAGGUAAAAACUGACGUCGAAGGACGAAGGCUUAGAUCACGAACAGGAUUUGGCACCCUAGUAGUCUUUGCAGAAAAUGAUGAAUGCCAUAGGGUGGAUUAAUAAUAAAAUCUAUACUAUAAAUGAAAGUGUAAGCAUUUCACCUCAAGAGUAAGACGGCAACGUAGGAACUG